Long non-coding RNA from Larimichthys crocea (large yellow croaker), 1334 nucleotides. RefSeq lists it as uncharacterized. NCBI's taxonomy places the organism in Eukaryota, Metazoa, Chordata, Actinopteri, Sciaenidae. The record is from RefSeq and is a predicted model, not a curated record. The transcript is spliced from 3 exons.
GUAGACCAUCGACAGGUAGUCCAACGACAGGUAGACCAACGAUAGGUAGACCAACGACAGGUAGACCAACGAUAGGUAGACCAACGACAGGUAGUCCAUCCAAAGGCAGACCAACGACAGGUAGUCCAACGACAGGUAGACCAACGACAGGUAGACCAACGACAGGUAGUCCAACGACAGGUAGUCCAUCGACGGGUAGACCAUCGACAGGUAGUCCAUCCAAAGGUAGACCAACGACAAGUAGACCAUUGACAGGUAGUCCAUCGACAGGUAGACCAUCGACAGGUAGACCAUCGACAGGUAGGACCAUCCAAAGGUAGACCAACGACAGGUAGUCCAUCGACAAGUAGUCCAUCGACAAGUAGUCCAUCGACAGAUAGACCAACGACAGGUAGUCCAACGACAGGUAGACCAUCGACAGGUAGUCCAUCCAAAGGUAGACCAACGACAGGUAGACCAUUGACAGGUAGACCAUCCAAAGGCAGACCAACGACAGGUAGUCCAACGACAGGUAGACCAACGACAGGUAGACCAACGACAGGUAGUCCAUCCAAAGGCAGACCAACGACAGGUAGUCCAACGACAGGUAGACCAACGACAGGUAGUCCAACGACAGGUAGUUCAUCGACAGGUAGACCAUCGACAGGUAGUCCAUCCAAAGGUAGACCAUUGACAGGUAGUCCAUCGACAGGUAGACCAACGACAGGUAGACCAACAACAGGUAGACCAUCGACAGGUAGUCCAUCCAAAGGUAGACCAUCGACAGGUAGUCCAUCGACAGGUAGACCGUCCAAAGGUAGACCAUCGACAGGUAGUCCAUCGACAGGUAGACUGUCCAAAGGUAGACCAACGACAGGUAGUCCAUCCAAAGGUAGACCAACGACAGGUAGUCCAUCGACAGGUAGGACCAUCGACAGGUAGACCAUCGACAGGUAGACUGUCCAAAGGUAGACCAAAUACAGGUAGUCCAUCCAAAGGUAGUCCAUCGACAGGUAGUCCAUCGACAGGUAGACCAUCGACAGGUAGACCGUCCAAAGGUAGACCAACGACAGGUAGUCCAUCCAAAGGUAGACCAUCGACAGGUAGUCCAACGACAGGUAGUCCAUCCAAAGGUAGACCAUCGACAGGUAGUCCAUCGACAGGUAGUCCAUCGACAGGUAGGACCAUCGACAGGUAGACCGUCCAAAGGUAGACCAUCGACAGGUAGUCCAUCGACAGGUAGGACCAUCGACAGGUAGACCGUCCAAAGGUAGUCCAUCGACAGGUAGACCAUCGACAGGUAGUCCAACGACAGGUAGUCCAAUGACAGGUGAGUUCAGAUUUCCUCUUCCUGU